ACUUAUAANAAAUGGUCGCAUUGAAUUCAGGCAGUCUGACCAUCAACACGCAAAGCGUCGCUCAAANUGAAUAUAAAUCCAAUCCUCCAAAGCUUAGACUUAACUGAGAAGUUCAUACUUUACAUCGCAGCACUCAAGAAUAGGAUUCAGUAAUUCUUGUUUUGGGAAAAUUUUAUCAAGAACGAACUUUACACACAGUACUAGUCACGAAGCGAUGGCCUCCAGAAACUACCGCAGUCAACUACCACUGCCACUUCGAUACCAAAGGNUACUAAGACUACAUCGCUACAGGCNAUUCAUGCCAAAUCAACUUACCCCAGAAAUGUUGAAAUACCAUUUAAGGUGGAUAAACCAACAAUCUAGGAUCCCAAAAGGAAUGAUCUGUGAUCACUGUGAACAACUAGUCCCUGAUAANGCAAAGGGACGAUAUAAGUGUGUCCGCUGUCAAGCAAAAUAUUGCAGUAAAGAGCAUCAAAAGGCAGCUUCAAAGUUCCACCACAGAUCAUGCAAUCGCUUCCCAAGAGAUCCCUCUCCUAGAAAUAAUAAUAAUCUUUCUUCUAAAGAAAUCCUACAAGAUGAAGACCAGGCUGAAGUGAUCUACGGAAAUCCUACGAACCUUAACCAGAACUUGAACAUUGCAAAAUANGUUAUAGAGAAUUUAAGAAAAUAUGGACAUUGUGUUUUGGACAAUUUUCACGGGGAGAGAAUUGCUAAAUCAGUAUUAAACGAAGUGAAGGCUUUACACAGUCAAGGUUCGUUUAAUUAUGGCCAACUUCAGUCUACUUCAGGACAUGGGACUUCAAAUAGAAGAAUACGAGAAGAUGAGAUAACGUGGAUGAACGGAAACGAAGCAGGCUGUGAAAAUAUCUCCCAUCAUAUGAGCAUCACAGAUACGUUACUACAACUGUGUAACUUCUUCAUCAAAGAAAACAAGAUUGAGAUGCGAUCUCCGGCCAUGGUAGCUUGUUAUCCAGGCAAAGGGACAGGAUACAAGCGACAUAUUGACAACCCCAACAAAGAUGGUCGUUUGAUUACCACGCUGUACUAUAUAAACCCUGGAUGGGAUGUUCAGAGUGAUGGUGGAGUUUUGAAGCUGUACCCAGAAUCAAAGUUCUUCCCAGAUUCAGAUAAGACAGAGGUAGAGAUAGAACCAGUGUUUGAUAGAUUGCUGCUUUUUUGGUCNGACAAGAGGAACCCACAUGAAGUAUGUCCUGCUUACAAAACCAGGUAUGCUAUUACCCUGUGGUACUUUGAUACGGAUGAGAGAAAAAAGUUCUUUGAAAAGUGAACUCACUCCACUCAAAGAGAAGGAAGUAAUAAGAGAGAAAGAAAGCAGUGAAGCUUAGUGGUUUGUGAUGUUUCUUGCUAUUUCAAUCAAGCAUAAUUGAUAAAUGGUGGUUACUUCCUGAUGCGUCCACCACAGAGCAGUAGAGUAAGUUGUACUCAUAAAGACAAUGUUUGGCACUACUGUGCCAGGAGAUUCAACCUCAUGCAAUUAACUGAAGCUAAAUAUCAUAAAUCUAAGAUUUAAUACUCUAUCCUGUUACCAGAUUNUACAGAAAGGUAAUAUUCUAGACGUUUUCAGUUUACCUCAUAUUUCUGUGUUACAGUNGGUUUCACAUUACUUUACACCUUUGGGUCCCGAACUAUGUUCGGAAAUUCCCAUGUUGGCAACCAUGCUAUUUCAGAACUUUAAAACAAAGUUUGUUUCAAAGUUUAGAAUUUGGUUUAGCAAUAGAAUUUAAAGUUCUCGAAGGAAAUCCCGAAGCUUCUGGUUGAAAAUCAAGAUUGUUUGCUGCAAAAUAAGCCAACCAAGUUCUGAAAUUUGGCGUAAAAGUUCAGAAGUGAAACCGACUGUAACUUAUCUUUUAAAUUUCAUGUCUUUAAAUAUUUUCCAUAACUACUACCCAGAAUAUCAGUUGAAAUUUAGUACAAGUUUCUAAAGUUUAUGUAGAAGCAUGAAUUUUACCNCAAAUGUGAAGCACUUGCAUUUGUCAAUGUUGGUAGCAGGGGCGUAUCCAGGGGGGUCACAGGGUGGCCAUGACCCCCCUUUUAAAGCCAAAAAAAUCUAACNGGCUGUUGAUGCAGUGUGUGAAGAUUUGUUUAGACUUAACUUAGGCAGUAAAGAAAAUCAGUUUUUUGCGCUUCUCGGAGCCGUCUUUUCAUUUCGUUUCCCUUCUAUCGACCAUGAUUCUUUUUUGUCAAAGCAAUAGAUUGCUAUGACGUCAUAUUGACGUCAUAUGACGUCAUAGUGACAAUUUGUUAUGUAAGGAUCCCCCAGUUACAAUUCCUGGAUACGCCCCUGGGUAGUAUGAAUUUGUUGUGAUAUCCAUUCUGCCACCAUCAGGACAGGAGUUCAGGGAGUGGGUGAGUUGCAUGGACUUAAAAUGACACCCUGAUCUGUUGUGACAGUCUGUAGCUCUCCCAUAACCUAAGCCAGUGCGACUACCCUGUUCUUUCAAGUCCCUUAAUAUAUAGGCUAGAUGUGCUAUAAGUUCACAAUGAGAAUCAAAGUUUAUGCACAUAGAAAUGAUAUCAAUUUCGGUCUCCAAAAUGUAAUGUCAUGUAAACUGAGAAAGCCUAUUAUUGUUGAGUUACAAAUCUAUCCUUACCAGGAGUAUCAAGGGUACAGCUAUGCCUUUUUAAAUGAAAAUAAGGCCUAUUGUCUUGGCUAAAAGUGGUCACUUGGGAAACUGGUACCAUACAAGCCUUCAUUUUUCACUUGACUGAAAUGUGGGUUUCAGAACUCCUGCAAAUCUACUGACUCUGUGCAUACCCCUGAGUACCAAGAGAGAUGUAGAGAUGUGCAUGUAUGGUGCCAAACGAUGGGAUCCUUGAUGUGUUGGCAAUAGUAAAACAUAGAAGCAAAGCCUCAUUACUAAAUCAAAGUUUGGAGGCACAAACGAAACGAGUUUUCUUAAAAUUUUGAAAUCNAUAUCGAGUCAUUCAAUUGGUAUAAGUAUGUAAUUAAAAAUGAAUAUGCUAUGCUGCGAAUUAUAUUUAUAUUUCCUAGAAGAGCAUUCAGUCAAAUCUUUUAUGUUUUAUUAUUUGAGCACAACAACAUUUCAGCUGCAAUNUAUUAUGCAUUCCUGGAAGGAGAUAAUCUAAUGUAUACCUAUUUGAAAAAGGUUGUCUUAGAGAAUACAGAAUGCUGCAUACUGAAUUCCUUACUAUGUUAAAAUGAUGAAGGCAAAGUACAGAACAGUAUUCAUAUUCAUGCCAAAAAGAUGCAUUGGCAAUAAUAGUUAACAAGAGAAUAUUGUAGUUAGUUUAUUUUGUGUUUCGAAAAAAGCUCAUAAUUUUUACAAGAAUUCAAAAUCCUUUGUAUCGCAACCUUUUUUUGAAAAAAUAGUGUAUAUUCCUGUAUGAACCACUGAGAUGCAGGUCGGUGAAUGCCACAAGAAAGGAUUAUGGUCCUUAGAUAAAAUUACCUAGGCUAAAAUGAUUUACGCUGUGUAUAAAAAUAACCUUGAACAGAAUUCUAACUUUACGUAUAUAUAAAAUAUUGAACAUACCAGGAAAAGUCCUUAAAGAACUAUCUGUGCAUAUAGGCUAUUUGUAUAAUUACAUUUACUACUAUUACCAGAAUGCUUUGCAAGCGUUUUGUAUUUAAGAUGUUAUUCUCUUGUGACUGGUAGUCUGUCAGAAUUCCAAAUAAAAUGUGCAAGGAAUUCUGGUAGCUGUAGUAUAUGUAUCCCUUGUGGCAAUACACUAUGAUGUAUCAAAACAUUGGUAUAUUAUGUAAAUAUCUAAAUGUAAGCAUAUUGUGUUUUCUCCCACAUAUACGUAUGAACAGUAUAAAAUGAUCCUAUUAACUUGUAGUAGAGUUAGGAUCAAAAGUUGUACUAUUUAGUACAUUUUUAAAGGAGUAAAACGUACAUACAUGCUGUUUGUAGUUUAGUAUANAGCACGCGGGCCUUGGCAUGAACCCAAGUAGAAGUGUUAGCGGUCUCUCGAUACAUCUCGGAAAUCCUGUGCUAGCGAUUAUAAUCUAUUCCCAUUCCAAAUAAACCUAAUCUCCAGAAA
Molecule: unclassified non-coding RNA, 4026 nt
Filed under: Actinia tenebrosa (Australian red waratah sea anemone)
Lineage: Eukaryota; Metazoa; Cnidaria; Anthozoa; Actiniaria; Actiniidae
Description: egl nine homolog 3-like, transcript variant X1
Source: RNAcentral